This 673-nucleotide long non-coding RNA is filed under the name Sus scrofa (pig). Its description in RNAcentral is "lncRNA (ENSSSCG00070029402.1)". Lineage: Eukaryota; Metazoa; Chordata; Mammalia; Artiodactyla; Suidae. The record is from RNAcentral.
UGAGGUUCAAGUUGAUUGCUACUAUUCCCUAGCUAUGACUAAAACUCUGGUCUUCUGCACCCACUGAUAGUGAUCUCUUUGCCACAGGAUGCUGUGUAUAUGAAAUUGCAGUACAGCUAUGACACCUAAGAGAUUUGAAAGAUUAAUUUGGGCCAAAGGCCUCGAGGAAAGAAGAUUUCAUUACUGAGGUUGCCAGAAGGAAUGAAGAAGAAUGGAGAAUGAUUCUCAUAAUUAUAGCAUCUUGGAAAUUUUGAGCAGAAGCUCGUCUGACAAUGGAAAAAGCAGACUAUGUCAUUGGCUGUUGAAGACUCUAACCAUAGCCUUUGAACAGAAAUGAUGAAAAGGAGGAAUUAACCAGGCUAGGAAGGUGACAAGGUACCCAGAAGGACUGGGGAGUAAAGUAAGUUGAUAUUUAUUUGAUUAUCUGACCCGGAAGGACUGGAGAGUAAAGUGAAUUACACUUAUUUGAUUAUCUGACUAAAAAAAAGAGAUAGCCUUUCUGCUUUCUUUCUUUUUACAUUCUCUAGUUUGGCUAAAAUAAUGCCUAAUUCCAAUAUUUUUCCUUGUACAAAAUUAUAGCAUCUCUAUGCUUUGUAAUAUUUCUGCCAAAACCUUCGUGUCUAUUAUUGAUGAGGGAAAUAAAUAGUACAGUUCUCUAGGAAAUUAUGUUUCA